This 397-nucleotide ribosomal RNA is filed under the name uncultured bacterium. RNAcentral describes it as "partial 16S ribosomal RNA". It matches the Rfam family "Bacterial small subunit ribosomal RNA", at positions 523 to 918 of the family's 1533-position model. The record is from RNAcentral.
AUACGUAGGUGGCGAGCGUUGUCCGGAAUUACUGGGCGUAAAGGAUGCGUAGGUGGAUACUUAAGUGGGAUGUGAAAUCCCCGGGCUCAACCCGGGAACUGCAUUCCAAACUGGGUAUCUAGAGUGCAGGAGAGGAAAGCGGAAUUCCUAGUGUAGCGGUGAAAUGCGUAGAUAUUAGGAGGAACACCAGUGGCGAAGGCGGCUUUCUGGACUGUAACUGACACUGAGGCAUGAAAGCGUGGGUAGCAAACAGGAUUAGAUACCCUGGUAGUCCACGCCGUAAACGAUGGGUACUAGGUGUAGGAGGUAUCGACCCCUUCUGUGCCGCAGUAAACACAGUAAGCAUUCCGCCUGGGGAGUACGGUCGCAAGAUUAAAACUCAAAUGAAUUGACGGGG